GUCUGUAUCCAUAUCACCCUGAACGGGCACGAUCUCAUCUGAUCUUGUAAGCAAAGCAGGGUUGGGCCUGGUUAGUACUUGGAUGGAAGAAAUUAACUGAAUAAAACAAAUAAUAUAGUAG
This is a ribosomal RNA of Mesocricetus auratus (golden hamster), 121 nucleotides long. Lineage: Eukaryota; Metazoa; Chordata; Mammalia; Rodentia; Cricetidae. The record is from Ensembl.